This 834-nucleotide long non-coding RNA is filed under the name Brassica napus (rape). RNAcentral describes it as "long non-coding RNA (BNAP_LNC023992)". Lineage: Eukaryota; Viridiplantae; Streptophyta; Magnoliopsida; Brassicales; Brassicaceae. The record is from RNAcentral.
AUUUUCACCAAUUAAGAGCAAUUCGUUGCAAUUGUAACACUAAACUGACGUAAAUUCCUCGUACAUUCUAUUUCCCAAAUGAGCCCCUCUAAUUCCAAGUAGAGUGGUGAUUGACUGGCCCUAGUAUUCCUCUUCCCCAUUAAUCCAUCAAAGCCUUCCAGUAUACUAUACCACCCUUUUCCCGAACAGCUUUCUUAGACUUUCCAUGAUACAUCCAUAAAGCACCAUCUGCGCGGUAUAGCCAGUAAAGUUUCCUCCUCUACCGAUCUACUAUGGCUAGUCCUCUGAGUAAGUGAAACAUGUGCCUCAGCCCAAAGCAAAGAUUUCGAUUCUGUCAAUUUGAGAGUAUCUCUGGGAUCAACAUCCAUGUUGCUAAAAUUUUAUUUUUAGGGUUAGCUUUUGGAAUCUUUACUCUUUUAAUAAAAUUAAAGUUGACCGAUAUGUGUUUAGUUUUGUGUAUAUUAAACACUUUAAAAGUUGAUUUUAAGUUUGAUGAACUGUUUGAUGCUAUUUUGUUACAUAUUUUAUUUUAUGGUUUGGAAAACUUCCAAGGAGUGUUCUAACAAAUAGGGUCUCAGAUGAAUAGUAAGUUUCAGGUUUAGAAGACUUCUUGGGAAGACUUCCUUGAAAAUCUUCUGAAUAGAAAAUAUGUAACCUAAUUAGAAUUUUCGUCUCCCUAGAUAAAGAAAAUUUACGCAUUCUCACUCUUCCUCUCAAAUGUCUGCAACAAAAAUGUUAUGUUUCUUGCUCUAAAACUCUUCAACCUCUCUUUACUCUCUUUGAACUUGAAAACACUAAACUUAUAUCAAUUUCUCAUUUUUUUUGUCUCAUGUC